Molecule: RNase P RNA, 394 nt
Filed under: Prevotella sp. oral taxon 376
Lineage: Bacteria; Pseudomonadati; Bacteroidota; Bacteroidia; Bacteroidales; Prevotellaceae
Description: RNase P RNA component class A
Rfam family: Bacterial RNase P class A
About the family: Ribonuclease P (RNase P) is a ubiquitous endoribonuclease, found in archaea, bacteria and eukarya as well as chloroplasts and mitochondria.
Source: RNAcentral
GCAGACUCCCGGCUUUGUCGCUGGUCUUAUGAAAGACGAGAGGAAAGUCCGGGCAACAGAGAGCACUCCACUUCCGAAAAUAGAAGCUAUUGGCGACAAUAGGGUAAGGCAGAAGAGAAUGACCGCCCGAUACAAUACUGAACUUCGCAAGGAGAACAGGCAAGUCGGGUGAGGGUGAGAAGGUGGUGUAAGAGACCACCGGGCAGUGGGUGAUCACUGUGCCGUGCCGCUGGAGGUUGCAAGUUCAUGUAUACCAUCGCCUGAGGGCUGCUCGCCCGAAGCUUUGCUGCGAUGGAGGGUAGAAUGCUUGAGGCGCAGGGCGACUUGCGCAGUAGAUAAAUGAUGAAGCUCCUCUUUGAGGAUACAGAACCCGGCUUAUCAGGAGUCUGCUUUC